AAACCAACUGGGAUUACCUUAGUAACGGCGAGUGAAGCGGUAAAAGCUCAAAUUUGAAAUCUGGUACUUUCAGUGCCCGAGUUGUAAUUUGUAGAAUUUGUCUUUGAUUAGGUCCUUGUCUAUGUUCCUUGGAACAGGACGUCAUAGAGGGUGAGAAUCCCGUUUGGCGAGGAUACCUUUUCUCUGUAAGACUUUUUCGAAGAGUCGAGUUGUUUGGGAAUGCAGCUCAAAGUGGGUGGUAAAUUCCAUCUAAAGCUAAAUAUUGGCGAGAGACCGAUAGCGAACAAGUACAGUGAUGGAAAGAUGAAAAGAACUUCGAAAAGAGAGUGAAAAAGUACGUGAAAUUGUUGAAAGGGAAGGGCAUUUGAUCAGACAUGGUGUUUUUUAAAUGUGCAAGUCUCUCGUGGACAUGUGCCUCUGGGAAAUUAACACUGGGCCAACAUCAGUUCUGGCGGCAGGAUAAAUCAUUAAGAAUGUAGCUACCUCGGUAGUGUUAUAGCUUUUUGGAAUACUGCC
This 516-nucleotide ribosomal RNA is filed under the name uncultured Hanseniaspora. RNAcentral's name for it is "eukaryotic LSU rRNA". It matches the Rfam family "Eukaryotic large subunit ribosomal RNA", at positions 62 to 575 of the family's 3401-position model. The record is from RNAcentral. Lineage: Eukaryota; Fungi; Ascomycota; Saccharomycetes; Saccharomycodales; Saccharomycodaceae.